UACAGAGGGGGCAAGCGUUGUUCGGAAUUACUGGGCGUAAAGGGCGCGUAGGCGGCCUUCUAAGUCGAACGUGAAAUCCCCGGGCUCAACCCGGGAACUGCGUCCGAUACUGGAAGGCUUGAAUCCGGGAGAGGGAUGCGGAAUUCCAGGUGUAGCGGUGAAAUGCGUAGAUAUCUGGAGGAACACCGGUGGCGAAGGCGGCAUCCUGGACCGACAUUGACGCUGAGGCGCGAAAGCCAGGGGAGCGAACGGG
This 253-nucleotide ribosomal RNA is filed under the name uncultured bacterium. RNAcentral describes it as "partial 16S ribosomal RNA". It matches the Rfam family "Bacterial small subunit ribosomal RNA", at positions 524 to 776 of the family's 1533-position model. The record is from RNAcentral.